Molecule: long non-coding RNA, 13990 nt
Filed under: Ananas comosus (pineapple)
Lineage: Eukaryota; Viridiplantae; Streptophyta; Magnoliopsida; Poales; Bromeliaceae
Description: long non-coding RNA (ACOM_LNC034666)
Source: RNAcentral
CACGAUGUAAGAAUUUUGACAAGAUUUCGAUGUCGAAUGCUUCUCAGGGCCUCACAUUCAGACAUAAAACUCCUGAAAGCCCCAUGCUGUUGAAGGUUAAGCACUUUCACUGCGACGAUGUCGGCAUUUUCAUAGUUCAUGGCGGCUUUAUAAACCGACCCAAAACUUCCCCUGCCGAUCAGAUUAUUUGAGGAGAACCCAUCUGUAGCCCUCAAGAGCUCAUCGUAAGAUACUUUCGCGUGUCGGGUUCUUAAGGAAAACCUCGACAACGGCUUUCUCUGUGAGUUUUUAAUCAAGUGAUGUACCCCAAGCAAGCCCAUGAUUAUAAUCAAACACAAAAUUGCUCCACCUACGGGAAUGAGUAUUACCUUGAGUUUAUAAUCAGAGUGAUGUUUUGCUGCAAAGGCAUCCGAAGUGCAUUUUGGCAAGUGUAAUUCUGGAUUUCCGCCACAGAGUUUAGAGUUUCCGAUAAGUGAGACUUCGCUCGCAUUCUUAAAAACCCCUUUCAUUGGCACUUGACCCUCGAAACUGUUGAAGGAGAGAUUCAAGUAUUUUAGAUCCGGGAGCUCAUCAAGGAAUGCGGGUAUUUGGCCCGAGUAGAAGUUUUUCGAGAGAUCAAGCUUCUUAAGCCCUCUUAAAUUGCUAAUGGAGGAAGGAAUGGACCCUUGAAAUAAGUUAUUCUCUAAAUGAAGGAUUUCCAAGAUUGUGCAUUUGCCAAUGGUGUCUGGAAUCUCACCAGAGAGCCUGUUAUUUGAGAGAUCAAGCGCCCUGAUAUUUAUCAAGUUGCCCACUUCCAACGGUAAUGAACCGUUUAGUAAAUUAUGCGACAAGUCGAGGAAGCUUGCGAGCGACGAAAGCCUCAAAACUUCUUGCGGAAUGCUACCGCUUAGCCUAUUAUUUGAUAGAUUUAACAACUCUAGCAUUAACAUCUUGCUUAAUGUCGGUGGAAUGGCUCCUUCAAAUUCGUUGCUGCCGAGAUAGAGCUUGUCCAUUAAUGUUAGGUUGCCCAAGGUCGGAAGAAUUUCACCCGAGAGCAUGUUGUCCGACAGAUCCAAGUACUGUAAUUGCCAAAGAUGGCUGAUUUCUAUGGGAAUAGUGCCUCGAAGAUCGUUAACGCUCAUGUCAAGAAAAGUUAGAUUGAUGAGCUUCUCAAUCUCAGUAGGUAUAAUUCCUGAUAUUUGGUUGUUACUGAGUAACAAAAAAUUAAGACUGGUGGAAAAAUUGACUAUUGAUUUGGGCAUCAUGCCUUGAAGUAGAUUGUAUCUUAGAUCCAACACUUGGAGACUGGUGCAGUUGGUCAGUGCUGUAAUGAAGCUCCACUCACUGAGCUUCCUGGCUUCGAGUCGAUUGAGGGCCAGUGUGAGCCACGAGAGACUCUGCAAGGCUCCAAGGCUCGGCGGUAUCGUGCCAUGGAAUGCAUUGGACUCUAGCUCAAGGUAGUUGAGCUCAGAAGCGUUGGACAAGGAUGCUGGAAUUCGCCCCCGGAGCUGAUUCUUAGUCAUAACAAGGACUUGAAGGUUCGGAAGAGCAUUUCCGAUAUCAGAGGGUAGAGUUCCCUCGAGUUGGUUAUAAUAGAGUUGAAAGGUGUUCAGGGAUGAUAGAUUGUAAAGGGAUGACGGUAUUUCUCCUGUUAAGUUGUUCAUCCCGAGACUGAGAUAUUCGAGAGAUGAAAGUCGUCCGAGCGAGAUUGGGAUCGUCCCGGAGAGAUUAUUAGAAGUGCAGUCCAGGUAAGAGAGGAAUGGAAGUUCUGCAAAGUGAGGAAUUUCACCAUGAAGGUUGUUUUCUCGUAGCAAAAGCAGGUUCAGAGAGGAGAGGUUCGUAAGAGUCGACGGAAUGGUUCCUGUGAGACUAGUGUAUUGGAUUUCAAGUAUCUGCAAGGAGAGAAGGCUACCGAAGGAUGAAGGCAUGGCUCCUGACAAGUUAUUAUUAUCUAAAGAAAGAAUGAGUAGAGAAGAAAGAUUCCCAAUUGAAUCUGGGAUCGUCCCUUGUAACAUGUUUUGACUCAGGAUGAGCUUUCUAAGACCGGAAAGACGCGAUAGAGUUGGCGGGAUCUCACCGUCGAGCUUAUUAUCUCGCAAGUUAAGUACUUGAAGAUUAGAGCAAUUGCCGAGCGAAGACGGGAUCAUUCCGCGAAGAGAAUUCUCACUCAAGUUGAGAUAUUGCAGCCGGCGCAAGCUGCCUAGGUCCUCCGGGAUGCUUCCGUCUAGCAUGUUGUCGGACAGGUCGAUCCUCCGGAGGAACGUGAGUUUGGCUACGGCAGGCGAUACGAAACCAGCCAGGCGAAGAGACUUGAGGUCGAGGGCUGUGACCCGGUGGGGAUGGCGGCGGCUGCAGGAGACGCCGUGCCACCUGCAGUAGUGGAGAGAGCCGUUGUUCCACGAGGAGAGCGCUCCGAACGGAUCGUCAUCGACGAGGGACUUGAAGGAGAGGAGGGCGGCGCGGUCGGAUGCAGCUGGCUCGAUCCCGAGAGUGGCGUACUUGGCGGUGGAGAUCACAUACAGCAGAAUGAUGAGAAAAAUUAGUGCAUGGAAGCCUUCCAUUCUACGAACUAAGACAAGAGAAAGCUAAAGCUAUAGCAAUCCUGCAGCACCCAGCUCUUCGCUGGUAUUUGUUGUUGGCAACUGGAUAUAUAAUAAACUAAAUUCCAUGCUUAGUCAAAAAGCCAAUUGUUGUAGUAAGGGCCUGUUUGCCUAGCUUCUAAAAAAAUGAUUUCUGAAAAAAUAAUUUUGGUUUGAGGAAGUGAUUUUAGUUAAAAACUAUAGAGCGUUUGGUAAAUUUUAAAUAAAAGUGAUUUUUCUAAAGUGAUUUUGAAAAGCUGUUUGGCAAAUUUUUUUUGAUAUUGCCAUAAAUUAAUAUUUUUAUUAAAUUUUAUUUUAAAUUAAUUUAAAAUCUAAAUUUAAAUUUGAAUUAAAAUUAAAACUUUUAAAUUUCAAAAUUGUACAAAAUUUAAAAUUUGAUAUUUUAAUUUUAAAAAUAAUUUAAAAUUUAAAAAAUUUAAAAUUUAAAAUAAUUAUGAAAUUUAGAAAUUAAAAAUAUAAAUAUAAAUUUAAAAAUAAAUAUAUUAUGAAUUUUAAAAUAUUAAAUUUUAAUAUAUAAAAAUAUAAAUUUAAAUUAAAAUUUCAAACUUUAAAUUUAGAAUUUUGAAUUUAAAAUUUAAAAUCUAAAUUUAAAAUUUAAAAUUUAAAAUUUAAAUUUAAAUUUUGAAAUUUAAAAUUUAAAAUUUAAAAUCUAAAUGUAAAAAUAUAAAUAAUUAUGAAAUUUAAAAUAUAAAAUAUUUAUAUUUAAAAAUAUUAAAUUUUAAAUUUCAAAAUUUAAAUUUAAAAAUUAAAAUUAAAAAUAAAAAUUAAAAUUAAAUUUAAAAAUUAAAAUUAAAAAUUAAAAAUUAAAAAUUAAAAUUAAAAUUAAAAUUUAAAAUUAAAAAUUUAAAAUAAUUAUGAAAUUUAAAAUAUAAAAUAUAAAAUUUGAAUAUUUAAAAUUUAAAAUUUAAAAUUUAAAAUUUAAAAUUUAAAAUUUAAAAUUUGAAUAUUUAAAAUUUAAAAUUUAAAAUUUAAAAUUUAAAAUUUGAAUAUUUAAAUAUUAAAUAUUAAAUAUUUAAAAUUUAAAUAUUAAAAUUUGAAAUUUUAAAUUUUUAAAAUUUGAAAUUUAUAAUUUGAAGAUUAAAAAUUAUAAUUUAAAAUUUAAAAAUUUAAAAUUUUUACAUUUAAAUUUUAAAAUCUCAAAUUUUAGAUUUGAAAUUUUAUCUUAAAUUUGAAAUUUGAAAUUUGAAAAUUGAAAAUUGAAAAUUGAAAAUUGAAAUUUUUAAAAUUUAAAAUUUUAAAAUCUAAAAUUUGAGAUUUGAAAUUUAAAAUUAAAAUUUAAAAUUAAAAUUUAAAAUUUAAAGUUUGAAAUCUUUUUUUAAAAAUUUAAAAUUUAAAAGUUAAAAUUUAAAAAUUCAAAGAUGAAUCUGAAAAUUAAAAUUUAAAAUUAAAAUUAAAAUUAAAUAUUUAAAUUAAAAUUAAAAUAAAAAAUUGAAGUUUAAAUCCAAAAUCAGAAUCAGAUUUCAAAAACAGUUUUUUUUCUGUUUCUAAUUCUGAGGUAUUCAAAAUUAGUUUUUUGAUUCUACAAAGCAGAAUCAGAUUUGAAAAGUGAGUUGCCAAACGCUUUAUUGAGCCGAAAAUUACUUUUCAGCCCAAAAGUAUUUUUUAAAAGUUAGACCAAACACCCCUAAGGACGUAAAACUAUGGUGUGUGAAUUCUUUUGUACCUAGUGAUGCGUGCAAUUAAUACUUCUGCAAAAUGUCACAAAUGGUAGUUAGUAUCCGAGAAUUUAAAUUCAAAAUUUAGUUGUUUUAUAUUUUAGCUAUCCGGAUAGCUAAAAGCACCUAUCUCUAUUUGUUGUUGAAUAUUCGUGCACCGUAAAAAAUAAAUGAAGUGGAUAGCUAUAGGGGUGGCAAUCCAGCUUACUGUUCGCGAGCCAGCUCGUGUUCGGCUUGAAAUGAGCUCAAGAUCGAAUCGUUCUUUUAAUAAGCGAGCCAAACACGAGCUGAAUUUUUCAGCUCGUUUAAUAAACGAGCCGAACAUGAGCUGGGGUCAGCUCGCUCGUGUUCGGGUCGAUAACAGCUCGAAUACAUAUAUUUUAUAUUUAUAUAAUUUAUAUUUAUAUAUAUUUAUAUAUACAAAUAAAUAAUUAUAUAUAUAAUAUAUAUAUUUUUAUUAUUUGAUUUUUAGCCAAAAAAAUAUAAAGCCGAGCUCAAUUAUAAAGAGACUUAUUUAUAUGUAAAGUUUCAACAAUUAGAUUAAAGUCUAGUGAGUAAUAUUUUAUAAACUUAUUUUUUAUGUAGAUCCAAUCUAAUCAAUUUAACUUAUUGUUCGUUGGCCAGCUCGUGAACCAGCUCGUAUUCGGCUCGUUAAUAAACAAGCCGAACACAAGCUGAAUUUUUCGACUCGAUACUUUAAUGAGCCAGCUCGUGUUUGGCUCGUUGACGCCCCUAGAUAGCUAAGACUAUCUAGUUAUAAUUGUACAUUUUCUUUUUUGAGAGAUAGGUAGCACGCUGCCCGCUUCAUUUAUUUCAUUUAGGAAUAAACUAAGCUAGAAAUGUGAAUCAACUAGGAUUCGAACUUGGGUCUCGAGUACCAACCACCAAGUCCUUUGCCACUUGUUCUAGGAACGGUUGGUUAUAGUUGUACAUUUUCGUAUUGCAAAAAAUGAAUGGAGUGAGUAGCUAGAAGCACCUACUAACUAGUAUGUCAAAUACUUUGGGUGAUGGUUGUGUUUUUCGGUGUUGGUGGUUCCUUGCAUUGGAUUCUUGCAUUUGUAUGUGACGCUUUGUUUGAAUGUAAAUAGCUCUUUUUCUUGGUUAAUAUUCUCCUUCUGUCAUACUAUUUAUGAUCUUUCCGUAGUUUGUGCUUAAAGUCUAAAAUUAGUACAUACAUCCUUCUAUUUAUGAUCUUUCCGUAGUUUGUGCUUAAAGUCUAAAAUUAGUACAUACAUCCUUCUAAAUAGGCUUGAAGCUUAUUAUAGAAUUAUACAAUUUAACUUGAUAGAUAUAAUCUACACUAUAAUUUAUAAACUCUUAUGAAAAUUCAUGCACUUUUGUCUACAUGGCGAUAUUAGCUUAAUUUUGUAAUUUCGUGGAACCUAUUUGUCAUACUAAAUUACAUGCCGCUCGCCGCUCGUCCCAACUAGAUGCUGCUCCAACUCCUGAUGCUCCCAUAUUGAUCUGGACGGGUGAGAGUUGGAGUGGAGCCCACUUUUUAUUCAUCCCAAUUCUUCUGUCUUUCCCAUUUUCCACAUUCAUUUGAUCAGAAGAAAGGGGUACGACCGUACGGGGGGUCGGGCCCACUUUUUUUUAAGUUGAAAUUCAACGCGGUGUUCUCUCAUGCUAAUUUGGCCAGAGGGAAUUAGGGUUAGGGUCAACUUCUUUUUUUCAAAGUUUCAGAUUUACAAGAUACAAAGUUUUUCAUUUACAAGAUUAUCGAACCUGCCCAGAUCUUUUUCCAUCCCAAAUUCUCCCCUCUCUCCCAUUCUCCACGUCGGAGUUGGGUGGGGCCCCUUUUUUACAAACUAAAUUCUCCUCCUCUCUCUCAUUCUCUAUCAAUUUUUCUGAUAUUUUACAAUAAAACGAAUUUUUAACUAAUCAAUAUUAUAAAAUUAAAAUUUAUAUUUAAUAUAUGUAAUAUAAACUAUACAAAAAGUUAUGUGUAAAAAAUUACAUAAUUUAAAUUUUUAUAAUAAUAUUUUAGAAAUGUAGACAACAAAAUUUAGUUUUACACCCCGAUGGUACAAAAUAUUUUUCAUCCACCAUUUUAUCUUUUCUUCUCAUCUAUAAAAAAUUGUUGUUUAAUAAAUGAGCCGAAUACAACCUGGGGUCAACUCUCUCAUGUUCAGCUCAAUAACAGCUCCAAUAUAUAUAUUUAUAUAACUUAUUUAAUUUAUAUUUAUAUAUAUAAAUAAAUAAUUGUAUGUAUAAUAUAUAUAUUUUAUUAUUUAAUAGUAAAAGAAAUAUAAAGUUGAGCUCAAUUAAAGAAAGACUCAUUUAUAUAUAAAGUUUCAACCAUUAGAUCAAAGUUUUGUGGGUAAGAUUUUAUAAAUUUAUUUUUUAUAUAUAUCAAAUCUAAUUCAUUUAAUUUAUUGUUUGUUGCCCGCUCGCGAGCCAGCUCGUGUUCGACUUGUUAAUUAACCAGCGGAGCACGAGCUGAAUUCUUCGUAUAUAAUAAUUUAUUAAUUUUAUAGUUUAGAGUUUCUUCUUUCUUCGUUCAUUAGUUUGAGAUAUUUAUAGGUCCAACUCAACCUAAUGGGUCCAAAAUCAUUACCGAAUAUAAAAAAUAUCGUCACCAAAUAUCUAUUAUGCCGACAAAAAUUAUUGUCAUAUGUUGCUGCAAAGGAUUCCACUAGCCACCAAAUUGUUACAAGUCGGGGCAACAAUAUUUUUCCACCAAAGUAAAAUUUGGAGGCAACUAUUUAUCGCCACCAAUUACCAAGAUUUGGUGGAAACUAGUUUUUGCCACUAGCAUUCAACUUUAGGCGGCGGAUAUUUAUCGCCACCAAAUGUGAGAUAUGGUGGCAAAUAUUUAUCGCCACAUUUAAAUGUGAUAUUUAAUGACAAAUAUUUAUCGCCAUUAAAUAUGACAUUUGGUGGCGCAAUUAUUUAUCGCCAUAUUAUUUUUGCCAUCAAUACGUGCUCUAAUCAAAAGCAGAUAUUUCGUCCUAUUUUACUUCGUUCUACAUAUGCUAAUGUAGGCCUACAUAUCAUGCUUUCGGUUGAUCAAGUUCUCUUUUGAUUUAACCCAAGAAGCAGCAAACAAAUUCUGGAACUUAUGCUACUAGAGAAAUCUGAAAUGAGUUUCGUCUGUACCACAUAGAAAGAGUUGGUAAAAGACUUACAAUUUGAAUAAAUUUAAAAUAUACCCCAAACUCACUCUUACAUCUAUGUGUGUGUGUGUGUGUGUGUGUGUUUUUUUUUUGAGAAAUAGAUAGUAUACUACCCGCUUCGUUUAUUUUAUUUAGACAUAAACUUAGCUGAAAAUGUGAAUCAACUAGGAUUCGAAUUCGAAAUCUCAUGUAUCAACCACUAAACCUUUUGUCACUUGCGCUAGAGAUGAUCGGAUACAUCUAUGUGUGUGUGUUGAUACACCUUAAUUAAUAGUCCCUUUCGGACAUGCCAUAUAUGUCACCUAGCUACUAGUGUAAUUAAAGAGAUGCGCAUGCAUGUAUCUUUUUUCCUUACUAAAGCUUUUUGCAUUGAAUUGUUCCCUCUCUAAAAUAAUUCUUGCUUUAAUCUCGUUACGACAGAUAGAUACUGUUAAAAUAAAAAUUUAUAAAAAAUUAAUAUCAGUUUAGUACAAAAUAUAAUAAAUAUAGUCCAUAUUAUAGGCAAACACUUUUAAAAAAAUAAAACUAUAAUGAAAAAAAAUCAAUUGUUCCAACAAAAUUAUUCAAGCUUGUUCAAAAAAAAAUCGCUAUCAUGUAAAUGGAUGAUUAAAAUUAUUUUUCUAACACAAUAAUCAAAUAAAAUAUCAUAUGGGAGUUGAUAUAACUAAAAAAAAAAAAAUCACAAUAAUAUGCAAGACAAUUUACAAUAAUAUAUAUAUAUAUAUAUAUAUAUAAUCAAUUAAUUGACUCUGAAUAUGAAACACAACAAAGGUUCGAAUUUGCUAAUUUCGAUCCAUCAUCACAAUAAACGAUUUCACACUAUUGGCAAAGAUAAUGUGAAGCCAUACAUUCUCGGGAGAUGAUGUGAAACCAUACAUCCCUCAAGUGGUCCGUCGAGGCCUCAAAGCGCGUAAUGUUGAAAGCAAUGUUGGAGGAACCUAAGAUUUUGAAAGGUUUAUUGCUUUAAAUUUAAAAAUUUUGACACAUUCUCAAGAAAUUUCAACAAAACUUUUGUUAAAAUUUAAGAAAGAGGGUGAAAGACCAAAAAGUAAAGGAAAGGGGUAAAAAAAAAAAACUCUUUAAGCCUUAGUAAAUCUAAGGAAAAAGAGAAAAACUUUUUUAAAAGAAGUAGGCCCCACUCCUCUUCAAAUUAAGAGGGUGGGUACACGUAGAAUUUAGUCAUAGAAAUUAAUGUAUAGGUAUAGAUUUUUCACACUAUUGGCAGAGAUAAUGUGAAACCAUAUAUUCUUAGGAGAUAAUGUGAAACCAUACAUCCUUCAAGUCGUCUGUCAAGGCCUUGAAGCACGUGAUGUUGAAAGCAAUGGAGGAGAAGCCUAAGAUUUCGAAAGGAUUGUUGCUUGAAAUUUAAAAAUUUUGACACAUUCUCAAGAAAUUUCAACAAUUUUUUGUUAAAAUUUAAGGAAGAAGGUGGAAAACCAAAAAGUAAAGGAAACGGGUAAAAAAAAAAAAAACUCUUUAUAUGCCUUAGUAAAUUUAAAAAAAAGGAGAAAAAAAAAAAAAAAAAAAAAAAAAAAAAGGCCCCAUUCCUCAAAUUAAGAGGGUGGGUACACGUAGAAUUUAGUCAUGGAGAUUAAUAUAUAGGUAUAGGAGUAUAGAUUACAGGUUGGGAGCUAUCUCGGGUACACACAUAAAAUUCUCACUUGAGCUAAAAAGAAAAAAGAAAAAAAGAAAAAAGAAAAUGGUACGAGUAAAUUAUGUUUGGAUUGUUGAAAAAGGAAAAAAAAUACAUAAAAAAAUUUACCGGUCAUAAUAAUAUUUUCCUUGAAACGUUUACUGUUUACUUAAUUAUAGUCGAUCUAGAUUAGGAGUGGAAAUCCAGCUCGCUGUCCACGAGUGAGUUCGUGUUCGGCUCGAAAUGAGCUCGUGUUCGGAUCGAAUGACCCAUUUAGUAAAUGAGCUGAAUAAGAGUUUGAAUUUUUCAGCUCAUUUAAUAAACGAGCUGCAAACGAGCUGGGGCAAGCUUGCUUGCGUUGGAAUCGAAUACAUAUAUUUUAUAUUUAUAUAAUUUAUAUUUAUAUAUAUAAAUAAAUAAUUAUAUAAAAAAUAUAAAAAUAUAAAAAUAUAGAUUUUCAUUAUUUUAUUUUUAGUCCAAUCUAAAUAUAAAGCCAACUCAAUUAUAAAAAGACAUAUUUAUAUAUAUGUGAACUUUCUACCAUUAGAUUAAAGUCUAAUAGAUAAUAAGUUUUCAUAAAUUUUAUUUUUUAUAUAUAUUCUUUCUAAUCCUUAACUUGUUAUUUGUGAGCAAGUUUGUGUUCGGCUCAUUAAAAAAUGAGAACACACAUUAAAAAUGAGCCAAACAUGAGAAGCAUUUUUUGGCUCAAUACUUUAACGAGCCAACUCAUGUUGAAACGUGCUGAACACAAGCUAGUUGACACCCCUAAUCUGGAUGUUAUGUUUAGUUUGUUCAAAUCUAGUUAAUUAUGACUAGUGUACAAUGAUCGGAAAUACGAAUUAAUUUAUCUUAAUAUUUCAGAUGACUAGUAAUUCGGCAUUUGUUCUGCAUGCCUCUUAACUUCGUUAACUUGGUCAAUUUAUUUAUUUAGAGAUGGGUGUUUUGAUCACAACCGGCUUAAUUGGAGGUGGUCCAAAUGUAACAAAAAAAAUGCAUAAUUAAUUAGGUACUUAUGGUCACUCGGAGUUUUUCACGAGUCAAAUCCGGUGGAAUUACAUAUAUUUCUCACUAUAAAAAAAUGUGGCCGAGAAAACGGCAUAUAAAGCGCGAAAGCUAAAAUUAUUUAAAUUGUUCUUUCUUUCGUUUUUCAUUUCGAAAAUCACCGGCUUUUGCUUUAAAGAAAAUCUAUUAGGAUGUUUAUUGAAAAGCUGUGAGUGCUAACUCCUUCACAAGCUCGAUUGAGAUAGCACUAGCUACUGCAGCAGUAGAAGCAAAGAGGCUUAUAGUGUCGCCAAAAGUAUUGAUCAUUUUUACAACUUCCAAGAUUUAUUGUUUGAUCAUCUUUCGGAUAUUUGGUUGACGAGUUUUGGAUCAAGAAAAUUUUUCGUAACCAAGCGGUUGGCCGAUGAUCGAUCCUAUUUCCAGAAAGAAAAAGCGAUUUGCUUGCACCUCAGAAAGUACAAGAAAUUCAGGGUGGGCGGUGUAUGCAUGUAUGUAUCUGGUGUUCUUUUUCCGUUGCGUCAAAUUCACGUUGGGCGAUCGCAUCUGAAACCUCUCAUUCAUCGCAACUUUGGUGUUAGAAACAGCUAGCAUUUGGUUGUGUUUUUCAGAGUCUUUGUGGUCCUUUGCAUUGGAUUCUUGCUUUUACAUGUGAUGCUUUGUUUGAUUGUAAAUGGUUUUGUUGUUGUCGUUGUGGUCAAUGUCCUCCUUUCAUACUAUUUUAUGAUCUUUCUCUCUAUUUUGUGCUAAUUUUAGGUAAACAUGCAUGGAGUCACUGCAAAUAUAGGCCAUGUAAAAUAGGACCCUCAAUUUCAUUGUUCUUUUUCAAUAGACACCUUCUGAACUUUAUUUAUUUCGUUCGGGUUAUUUCAGUUUAUUGAAUUGGGAUUUUGUUAAAACUAAACUCUCUGGGAACUAAAAUUCUAUUGUUUCCUGACAUCAUGUACUGAUUGAAGCAUCUCAAAAUCGACAAUUUGAGUCUACAUUGCUUAAAUUUUUUGUUUGAAAAUAAUUUAAGCUAUAUAGAUCAAGGUUCAUACCUUUGAUCUUAAAUUGAUGAAUCCUAUGAUUCAUUUUCAUAAUGUUGUUAAAGUUCAUUCUGCAGCUGCUUGAUGAACCAUAAAAUAAUCUUUAAAAAUCAGAAAAUUUGGUUCACUUACAAUACCCAAAAUCAUAUUUAUCAGUGUAGAUUGUUGAUCCAGAUGUCCUUUCAUCGGAAGGAGACCACUCAAUAGGAUAAAGAACUGCGUUGUCUUAGAAGGAUAGUAGCUAGGGGUGGAAACAAGCUGAGCUUGAGCAAGCUUACCUCAGCUUAAGCUUGAUUUAAAAUUAAUUUUAAGCCUAAAUUUAGUAGGCUCAAGCUUGGCUUGAAAUUAAUUCGAGCCGAAUUCGAACGAGCCUAAUUUCGAGUUGAGCGCGCUCGAGACCUAAACGAGCCGUUUGAAAAUCUUAACAUCAUAUAAUUUAUAGUUUAAAUGUUAUAUAACAUUAUCUAAAAUUGAUAUAAAAAUAUGUCCAAUAGUUCAACAUAUAAAAUAAAUACAUGAAUACGGUAUAAUAAUAUUACAAAAAAUAAUUUACAGAAAGCGACUAUGUGAACAAGUGAAAGAGAGGGAGAGAAAGAGUAAUUAGAGUAGAGUUUUGCUUGUUUGGUUUUGUGGGCCAUCAAAUAUGCCCAAUAAAUAAAACUCUAUACACAUAUAAUUAAAAUACGUAAUAUAUAUUAUUAUAUAUAAUUAAAAUAUAUAUUAUAUGUAAUUAUAUAUAUAUUUAUAAAUAUUAUAUAUAUAAAGAGAGAGAGAGAGAAAGUACGUCUCCCGUAUUUUCGAAAGUACGGAGGCUUCCGUACUUAUAAGUUGUUUUCGAUGAUAGAAUAUAUGAUUUGAUAAUUGGUUCCGUUAGGUAUAAUUUAUAUUAUUGAAACUAUGUAGAAAUCAAAUUUUAUAAUUUUUUAAUAUCAUUACCAAGCGAUUAUAGGGUCUCAAAAAUGACUAUUUUAACGGCCGAUGUGGCACGUUUUUAAGUUCAACGGUUUAGAAAUAUCCAAAUUACAUAAAAAUUUAAUAAAAAAUUCUACUUAAUAUCAAAAUUAAGAACAAUACUUUCGAUUUGAAAUUUAAGUUCUUUAUUAUUAUUUUUUAUGAAAUUUUUAUUUUCAGCCGUUUAUUUUGAGACUACUCGUUCACUAGGCAAACGAAGUAAAAAAAAUUAUGAAAUUUGAUUUCUAGAUGGUUCCAACAGCGUAGAUCAAAAAAUCCAAAAUUUGUGUAUACACCCUUCUAAAUAGUUUGGAGCUCUCGGUUGAAAAGUGUAUUCAACGCAUAUUAGGCGAUAAUGGGUUAUAUAAUUAUAUUAGGCUUCAUUUAUAAACUUGAGCCAGAAAUUAGAAAUUUGAAGCUAUUAAUGUAUACAGAUGCAAAUUUUGAAGUGCCAAUCUUCCUUUUGGUUGCAUUUAUUUUAGAAAGAAGUGAUCAAAACCAUAAUGACUAGGCAUUUACAUUGCACAAGGUUUUUUUUUUUUAAUGCAAAUAAGGAAAAGCAGAGGAUGUUCAAACAUACAUUCAUUUGCCUAUAGUGAGAACUAUAGCAUAGGGAGCAAAAACUGCUUUUAGCUAAGAAGCCUCACUCUUGCUGCACUCAGCUCCUUUGCAACUUUCCUCAUGUCGCAUCGUUCGUAUGGCGAUUCGUCCGAGCACGCGAGACCGCAGUCGAACACCGAAACUACGCAAUCUCGCACACACUCUUCUCGAUAAGCUUUAUCAUUAUCAGCUGAGUGCAGGUUUCUGUCUAUGAUGUCCAUGAGAUGUUCAGGAGAAGCAGCAGCAGCACGGACAUAUCCACGAAGGGUCAGUCCGUCUUUGAACUUGUCGUCGAGGGGGCACAUUCCAGUGAACAUUUCCAGCAGAAGAAUUCCGUAGCUGUACACAUCGCCGAGCCUAGAUGGUUUACAGCCCAUUCCAUACUCUGGACAACAUAUGUUAAUUGGAAACAGACAAUACAAGAUUUUCAUUUGGAUUUGGGUUUGGUUCCCACUGUUUCCAAGCCAUAAUUACAAAAACUAAAUUUGACCUUUUAGAUUAUUUAUAUUGACUCAAGAAUAGCAUUAGAUAUGUAGAAAUGAAGUUCCAGCUCUUGCGUGCUUAGUGAUCAUAAUUAAUCAGUUUUUAGUAGUAAGCAUCAAGCAGUUUAUUCUAACUCCAGUAUUUUUACACUAAAUUUCUAAUUUUAUUUACUAAACUUCAUGCUGUUCACUUGUUUUUGCUUCAAAAGACAGUGAGCGGCAAAAAAAAAAUAUUAGAGAUAGUAUAGUUAGGAAUAAAAAAAAGAUGUGUUAUAUUUUUUUUCUGAAAUGCCGUAAAGCAUGAAAAAAGUUAGUAUUUCAUUGCAUAUUUCUCACCUGGAGGAACAUAGCCAAUAGAUCCUUUGAUUCCCACAGUGCUGGUAGAUGAACGCUCAGAUGAUUCGUCAAGCGGUUGCCGCAGAAACUUUGCUAACCCGAAAUCACCCACAUGCGCCGUCAUUUCAUUGUCGAGAAGGACGUUGCUGGGCUUAAGAUCACAGUGAACAAUCGGCACGGACCCUCCGUGAUGAAGAUACUCUAAUGCCGAUGCUACAUCGAUAGCUAUGUUCAACCUCUGGAUUAGGCUUAGGCUUCUAAAUGGCCAAUUCUCGCAUGCAUUUGGAUGUAGCCACUCUUCUAAGCUUCCAUUAGGCAUGUACUCAAAAACCAAGGCCUUGAAAUCGUUACCAUGGUGAUCCAAACUAGAGCACGAUGUAAGAAUUUUGACAAGAUUUCGGUGUCGAAUGCUUCUCAGGGCCUCACAUUCAGACAUAAAACUUUUGAAAGCCCCAUGCUGUUGAAGGUUAAGCACUUUCACCGCAACAAUGUCGGCGUUUUCAUAGUUCAUGGCGGCUUUAUAAACCGACCCAAAACUUCCCGUGCCGAUCAGAUUAUCUGAGGAGAACCCAUUUGUAGCCCUGAAGAGCUCAUCGUAUGAUACUUUCAUG